CGGUUUUCAAGCAGGUGCAAGCCUGGCGGCGGUCAGCGGUGGUCUUGGCCAUGCGCAGGAGUCCCCUCAUCCCGUUGCAGCAAGCAGCGGUGACUGGUGCACGUCCGGUCAAAUAGGUAAGACACGGGGCCAUCCCGCUGCUCACUUGCCCGCAGGUCAACCCGCUGACCGUCAUGGGUGCGGCCACCAAGGCGCAGACUAGCAAGACAGAAACCAACUUCAAUGCAGCUGCCAUUUUGGUAAUUAAAUUGAUUCUAUGCGGGGGAUUUUGUAAAGUUGCUUUGGUAUGUUUUUGAAGAAUUG
Molecule: long non-coding RNA, 303 nt
Filed under: Linum usitatissimum (flax)
Lineage: Eukaryota; Viridiplantae; Streptophyta; Magnoliopsida; Malpighiales; Linaceae
Description: long non-coding RNA (LUSI_LNC005003)
Source: RNAcentral